CGCGCGAGUCAUUGGGACUUAUGCGAAACCUAAAGGCGAAAUGAAAGUAAAGGCGCGCCUUGCGCGCGCCGAGGGCGGAUGGGCGGCGGCUCGCCGCCGCCCCGCACGCCCGGGGCGUCCCGUUCUCAUCGCGAGUUGGGGCGCACCCAGAGCGCGCACGCUGGGACCCGAAAGAUGGUGAACUAUGCCUGGUCAGGACGAAGUCAGGGGAAACCCUGAUGGAGGUCCGUAGCGAUUCUGACGUGCAAAUCGAUCGUCGGAACUGGGUAUAGGGGCGAAAGACCAAUCGAAUCAUCUAGUAGCUGGUUCCCUCCGAAGUUUCCCUCAGGAUAGCUGGCGCUCGUUUUUACGAGUCUCAUCCGGUAAAGCGAAUGAUUAGAGGCAUUGGGGUCGAAACGGCCUCAACCUAUUCUCAAACUUUAAAUGGGUGAGAUCUCCGGCUUGCUCGAACUAUGAAGCCGCGAGACCUCGGAUCAGAGUGCCAAGUGGGCCACUUUUGGUAAGCAGAACUGGCGCUGUGGGAUGAACCAAACGCCGAGUUAAAGCGCCCAAAUCGACGCUUAUGGGAUAC
Molecule: ribosomal RNA, 571 nt
Filed under: Hydraena sp. MNCN AI542
Lineage: Eukaryota; Metazoa; Arthropoda; Insecta; Coleoptera; Hydraenidae
Description: eukaryotic LSU rRNA
Rfam family: Eukaryotic large subunit ribosomal RNA
Source: RNAcentral